UAACGCGAAGAACCUUACCAAGGCUUGACAUACACGAGAACGGGCCAGAAAUGGUCAACUCUUUGGACACUCGUGAACAGGUGGUGCAUGGUUGUCGUCAGCUCGUGUCGUGAGAUGUUGGGUUAAGUCCCGCAACGAGCGCAACCCUCGUUCUAUGUUGCCAGCGCGUAAUGGCGGGAACUCAUAGGAGACUGCCGGGGUCAACUCGGAGGAAGGUGGGGAUGACGUCAAAUCAUCAUGCCCCUUAUGUCUUGGGCUUCACGCAUGCUACAAUGGCCGGUACAAAGGGCUGCAAUACCGUAAGGUGGAGCGAAUCCCAAAAAGCCGGUCUCAGUUCGGAUUGAGGUCUGCAACUCGACCUCAUGAAGUCGGAGUCGCUAGUAAUCGCAGAUCAGCA
RNAcentral lists this ribosomal RNA (397 nucleotides) under uncultured bacterium. Its description in RNAcentral is "bacterial SSU rRNA". It matches the Rfam family "Bacterial small subunit ribosomal RNA", at positions 957 to 1354 of the family's 1533-position model. The record is from RNAcentral.